CGAACGCUGGCGGCGUGCCUAAUACAUGCAAGUCGAACGAACUCUGGUAUUGAUUGGUGCUUGCAUCAUGAUUUACAUUUGAGUGAGUGGCGAACUGGUGAGUAACACGUGGGAAACCUGCCCAGAAGCGGGGGAUAACACCUGGAAACAGAUGCUAAUACCGCAUAACAACUUGGACCGCAUGGUCCGAGUUUGAAAGAUGGCUUCGGCUAUCACUUUUGGAUGGUCCCGCGGCGUAUUAGCUAGAUGGUGGGGUAACGGCUCACCAUGGCAAUGAUACGUAGCCGACCUGAGAGGGUAAUCGGCCACAUUGGGACUGAGACACGGCCCAAACUCCUACGGGAGGCAGCAGUAGGGAAUCUUCCACAAUGGACGAAAGUCUGAUGGAGCAACGCCGCGUGAGUGAAGAAGGGUUUCGGCUCGUAAAACUCUGUUGUUAAAGAAGAACAUAUCUGAGAGUAACUGUUCAGGUAUUGACGGUAUUUAACCAGAAAGCCACGGCUAACUACGUGCCAGCAGCCGCGGUAAUACGUAGGUGGCAAGCGUUGUCCGGAUUUAUUGGGCGUAAAGCGAGCGCAGGCGGUUUUUUAAGUCUGAUGUGAAAGCCUUCGGCUCAACCGAAGAAGUGCAUCGGAAACUGGGAAACUUGAGUGCAGAAGAGGACAGUGGAACUCCAUGUGUAGCGGUGAAAUGCGUAGAUAUAUGGAAGAACACCAGUGGCGAAGGCGGCUGUCUGGUCUGUAACUGACGCUGAGGCUCGAAAGUAUGGGUAGCAAACAGGAUUAGAUACCCUGGUAGUCCAUACCGUAAACGAUGAAUGCUAAGUGUUGGAGGGUUUCCGCCCUUCAGUGCUGCAGCUAACGCAUUAAGCAUUCCGCCUGGGGAGUACGGCCGCAAGGCUGAAACUCAAAGGAAUUGACGGGGGCCCGCACAAGCGGUGGAGCAUGUGGUUUAAUUCGAAGCUACGCGAAGAACCUUACCAGGUCUUGACAUACUAUGCAAAUCUAAGAGAUUAGACGUUCCCUUCGGGGACAUGGAUACAGGUGGUGCAUGGUUGUCGUCAGCUCGUGUCGUGAGAUGUUGGGUUAAGUCCCGCAACGAGCGCAACCCUUAUUAUCAGUUGCCAGCAUUAAGUUGGGCACUCUGGUGAGACUGCCGGUGACAAACCGGAGGAAGGUGGGGAUGACGUCAAAUCAUCAUGCCCCUUAUGACCUGGGCUACACACGUGCUACAAUGGAUGGUACAACGAGUUGCGAACUCGCGAGAGUAAGCUAAUCUCUUAAAGCCAUUCUCAGUUCGGAUUGUAGGCUGCAACUCGCCUACAUGAAGUCGGAAUCGCUAGUAAUCGCGGAUCAGCAUGCCGCGGUGAAUACGUUCCCGGGCCUUGUACACACCGCCCGUCACACCAUGAGAGUUUGUAACACCCAAAGUCGGUGGGGUAACCUUUUAGGAACCAGCCGCCUAAGGUGGGACAGAUGA
Molecule: ribosomal RNA, 1479 nt
Filed under: Lactiplantibacillus plantarum
Lineage: Bacteria; Bacillati; Bacillota; Bacilli; Lactobacillales; Lactobacillaceae
Description: bacterial SSU rRNA
Rfam family: Bacterial small subunit ribosomal RNA
Source: RNAcentral